This 444-nucleotide ribosomal RNA is filed under the name uncultured bacterium. Its description in RNAcentral is "partial 16S ribosomal RNA". It matches the Rfam family "Bacterial small subunit ribosomal RNA", at positions 331 to 792 of the family's 1533-position model. The record is from RNAcentral.
CCAGACUCCUACGGGAGGCAGCAGUGGGGAAUAUUGCACAAUGGGGGAAACCCUGAUGCAGCGACGCCGCGUGAGUGAGGAAGUAUUUCGGUAUGUAAAGCUCUAUCAGCAGGGAAGAAAAUGACGGUACCUGACUAAGAAGCCCCGGCUAACUACGUGCCAGCAGCCGCGGUAAUACGUAGGGGGCAAGCGUUAUCCGGAUUUACUGGGUGUAAAGGGAGCGUAGGCGGCUGAGUAAGCCAGAAGUGAAAGCCCGGGGCUCAACUCCGGGACCGCUUAUGGAACUGCAUGGCUUGAGUGCAGGAGAGGCAAGUGGAAUUCCUAGUGUAGCGGUGAAAUGCGUAGAUAUUAGGAGGAACACCAGUGGCGAAGGCGGCUUGCUGGACCGUAAAUGACGCUGAGGCUCGAAAGCGUGGGGAGCAAACAGGAUUAGAUACCCGAGUA